This 217-nucleotide unclassified non-coding RNA is filed under the name Hevea brasiliensis (rubber tree). Lineage: Eukaryota; Viridiplantae; Streptophyta; Magnoliopsida; Malpighiales; Euphorbiaceae. The record is from RNAcentral.
UUUUUUUCACAGCUUGAAGCAAAGUUUUAAUUCAAGCUGAUUUAAGGACUAAUAAUCAUGAAAGGAUGAUGCUAUGAGCUGUUCAUUUGCUUGCAAAACUAUAUUAAUGGAAUGUCUAGAGCUUACAUGCAAUUUAGAAUCUCACAAGAGAUGGAGAUUUUGAUUGCAAAUUUGCAUCAGGCCAGAAGUCUCUUGAGUUUGAGCUUUGGAUUCUGCA